GCGGAAGGAUCAUUGUCGAACCUAUAAAAUAGACCGCGAACCCGUUUAUAACCUUCUCCCGCAGUUCGGGGCGCGAGCGCCGUCCCGCGGGCUAACGAACCCCGGCGCGGAAUGCGCCAAGGAAAACUUAACAAAAGCGUCGCCCCCAUCAGGCCCCGUUCGCGGUGUGCUUGCGGGGGAGCGACGUCUCUUGAAUGUCAUAACGACUCUCGGCAACGGAUAUCUCGGCUCUCGCAUCGAUGAAGAACGUAGCGAAAUGCGAUACUUGGUGUGAAUUGCAGAAUCCCGUGAACCAUCGAGUCUUUGAACGCAAGUUGCGCCCGAAGCCAUUAGGCCGAGGGCACGUCUGCCUGGGCGUCACGCAUCGCGUCACCCCCUCACACUCUCCGGAGUGAUCGCGUGGGGGUGGUACUGGCCUCCCGUACGCUUUCCUGUGCGGCUGGCCCAAAUGCGAUCCCGCAGCGGCGCAUGCCGCAACCAGUGGUGGAAGAAUUCUCGUUCUUGCGUGCUGUUGUGGCUGCAAUGCGCCGUUUGCUCGGGCAUCACAAUCGACCCAACUGCGCGGUGGAAACAACUACUGCGCUAUCGACCGCGACCCCAGGUCA
Molecule: unclassified non-coding RNA, 605 nt
Filed under: Mazus goodenifolius
Lineage: Eukaryota; Viridiplantae; Streptophyta; Magnoliopsida; Lamiales; Mazaceae
Description: partial contains ITS1, 5.8S rRNA and ITS2
Rfam family: 5.8S ribosomal RNA (bases 205-360)
Source: RNAcentral